RNAcentral lists this unclassified non-coding RNA (343 nucleotides) under Hevea brasiliensis (rubber tree). Lineage: Eukaryota; Viridiplantae; Streptophyta; Magnoliopsida; Malpighiales; Euphorbiaceae. The record is from RNAcentral.
CUGAUAUAUAAAUACAUCUAAUAUCAGUGUGUGUCCACGAGUUAGUAAUUUUAUUUUAUUUUAUUGAAGACAGAUUAGUUGUAAGUUGAUUAGCACUUGAUGACUUCCAUGUUUGUCACAUAAUUAGUCUUCUGGGGUGUAAUCAGAGGGACAGUAAUAUAGGAAUGAAGCCUUUCAUGUCAUCUCUAUCACUGCCUAAUAAUUUGCAGAUAGUAGUAAAUUGACCACUGAAGAGGAUUCUUUUGUUUUCAGCUUCUCUCAAGCGAGCAAGUGGCUGGUGUUUUGACGAGAAACUCUUUCUGCAAUCACUUUACAAGGUAUUGAUUUCAAUAUCAGAAAGAAG